Molecule: ribosomal RNA, 495 nt
Filed under: uncultured bacterium
Lineage: Bacteria
Description: bacterial SSU rRNA
Rfam family: Bacterial small subunit ribosomal RNA
Source: RNAcentral
GAACACCGGUGGCGAAGGCGGCUUUCUGGACUGUAACUGACACUGAGGCACGAAAGCGUGGGGAGCAAACAGGAUUAGAUACCCUGGUAGUCCACGCCGUAAACGAUGAGCACUAGUUGUUGGGUCCGAAUGGAUUCAGUGACGCAGUUAACGCAAUAAGUGCUCCGCCUGGGGAGUACGGUGGCAACACUAAAACUCAAAGGAAUUGACGGGGACCCGCACAAGCAGCGGAGCAUGUGGUUUAAUUCGAAGCAACGCGAAAAACCUUACCAGGGCUUGACAUCCCUCUGACCGGUCCUUAACCGGACCUUUCUUCGGACAGAGGUGACAGGUGGUGCAUGGUUGUCGUCAGCUCGUGUCGUGAGAUGUUGGGUUAAGUCCCGCAACGAGCGCAACCCUUGUCGUCAGUUACUAACAUUAAGUUGAGGACUCUGACGAGACUGCCGAGGUUAACUCGGAGGAAGGUGGGGAUGACGUCAAAUCAUCAUGNCCNUU